AUCCAACUGACGAAUGCCGAACAGGACGAAAUGCGCGUCCUGGAU
Schistosoma rodhaini is the source of this 45-nucleotide non-coding RNA. NCBI's taxonomy places the organism in Eukaryota, Metazoa, Platyhelminthes, Trematoda, Strigeidida, Schistosomatidae. The record is from Rfam.